This 87-nucleotide transfer RNA is filed under the name Oscillospiraceae bacterium. RNAcentral's name for it is "tRNA-Ser". It matches the Rfam family "tRNA". Rfam says of the family: Transfer RNA (tRNA) molecules are approximately 80 nucleotides in length. The record is from RNAcentral. Lineage: Bacteria; Bacillati; Bacillota; Clostridia; Eubacteriales; Oscillospiraceae.
GCGGAAGUACCCAAGUGGUGAAGGGGCUCCCCUGCUAAGGGAGUAGGUCUCGAAAGGGGCGCAAGGGUUCAAAUCCCUUCUUCCGCG